CAUGAGAACACAUUGCCUCAUACUUGCUGCAAUAGAGUUGAAUAAGUAACAGCUUUUAAAUUGGAUUAUCAACUCACAUUGCUACCAAAUACGAGCAUAUCAAUAGCAAGUCAUUUGGGGUGAAUGGAUAUGUUGACUGCCACACCUGGGUUUCUGUGACUACUCCUGGAUUCAGUGAUGGAGUCAGCCCCAAGUCUUGUCCCAUCUGUUCCAAGCUAUUUGUCCAUGUAAAACUGUCAACGUUCCAAGCCACUGACUGACAGGGUAAGAAGAGUGAGUCUCAAGAGAGUGAGGAACGGUGAAUCUUUGGCAGACUCUGUGUGUGCCCAUGGAAGAGACAGUGACAGAAAUUAUGUAAUGAAAAAAAUGUAGCACAAGCCUUAUGAAUUUUUACUUUUCACUCCAUGGGAUUCCCAUAUCAAAAGACCUAUUCUACACAAAAUAAAGUUCUCUAUGAAGAAUUG
This is a long non-coding RNA of Homo sapiens (human), 464 nucleotides long. Ensembl annotates it as long intergenic non-protein coding RNA 2112. Lineage: Eukaryota; Metazoa; Chordata; Mammalia; Primates; Hominidae. The record is from Ensembl.